Hippoglossus stenolepis (Pacific halibut) is the source of this 1016-nucleotide long non-coding RNA. RefSeq lists it as uncharacterized. The record is from RefSeq and is a predicted model, not a curated record. NCBI's taxonomy places the organism in Eukaryota, Metazoa, Chordata, Actinopteri, Pleuronectiformes, Pleuronectidae. The transcript is spliced from 3 exons.
CUGCUGAGCAGGAAGCAGACGGUUCCAUCAGCAGAGCUGCGCCUGGCAUUCAUCAUUAAAUGUCUGCCCAGGAAACAGACAGCUUUACACUCAUCUGCAUCUGCUUGGUAUGCCAACUGGGAUGAUGUCGGAGGCUGUUGGACUGCUGGAUGAUGACCACCCGUCUCCCCUGAAGUGCCCCUGCAAGACCUGAAUACAAGAAACUGUAACACCUUCUCUGAUGCCCCAGCUGUGUGACUCACACAGGCUGCGUAUGCCUCCCACUCAAGCAUCAAUCUUCUAUCUUAAGUCUCUUGUUUUCCCGGCACCACAGAAGCAUGAGACGUCUGAAUUAAAGAUGGGCAUGAGACACACCAUCGCUCAUCACCCCCAAACAGCUUCGCCACCUGCAGAGGUUCUCCAACGCGCUCGCUCUCUCUUUCUCUAACAAGAAUUGUGACGGAAACACAAGAGACACAAAGCAGCGGAGUUCUAGUAGUUUAGACUGCGGAUCCGGACUCUGUGUUUUUUAUUGUGUGAGGAAGUGAUAGAAUUAUUCUGUGAUUUGCAUAACAGGACUUGGAUUUAAUGCUUAGACACUGAGGUCAGUGCCGGGUUAUUAUAACAAGUGUUAAUGAAUGUGUCGGGAGGAAAGCAACAGAGUGGAUCUUGAUUAAAAUGGGAAAAUCCCUAUUGUAAAAUAGUUCCUUUGACACUAUGCAUUGCUCUAAUUCAAAACCCAAGCACCGUUCUCCACCACACGCAAUUGAAAAAAACAUUCUACACUAAUAAAUAUUCAAGCCGACCCUGCUUUAGUUUUGGUGUCUUUGUUUAGGAGCUCUUUCUUUUCAUUCAAUUCACUGCGCUGCAUAAAGGAACGAUUAACAACAUCAAAAUCUAAUCUGCAACCAUUUCAUUUGUAGAAUUAUAAAAGUGAAAUAUGGAAACAUUAAUGAAUAUUAUUGAAAACUGAUGUGACACCUAUGUGUGUAGAUAUUGGACUGACAAAUUUAUUAUGGGACAUAUUUCACUUGAUA